GACGAACGCUGGCGGCGUGCUUAACACAUGCAAGUCGAGCGGUAAGGCCCUUUCGGGGGUACACGAGCGGCGAACGGUGAGUAACACGUGGUGACCUGCCCUUAGCUCUGGGAUAAGCCUGGGAAACUGGGUCUAAUACCGGAUAUGACUCCAUAACGCAUGUUGUGGGGUGGAAAGCCUUGUGCGGCUAGGGAUGGGCCCGCGGCCUAUCAGCUUGUUGGUGGGGUGAUGGCCACCAAGGCGACGACGGUAGCCGGCCUGAGAGGCGACCGGCCACACUGGGACUGAGACACGGCCCAGACUCCUACGGGAGGCAGCAGUGGGGAAUCUUGCG
This 334-nucleotide ribosomal RNA is filed under the name uncultured bacterium. RNAcentral's name for it is "bacterial SSU rRNA". It matches the Rfam family "Bacterial small subunit ribosomal RNA", at positions 28 to 368 of the family's 1533-position model. The record is from RNAcentral.